Molecule: non-coding RNA, 271 nt
Organism: Labrus mixtus (cuckoo wrasse)
Lineage: Eukaryota; Metazoa; Chordata; Actinopteri; Labriformes; Labridae
Product: small Cajal body-specific RNA 6
Exons: 1
Source: RefSeq, a predicted model, not a curated record
GGUCGGUGAUGAGAAGUAAAAGGUCUGAUUACCCACAAUCCUCUCCUGCUGCCCUCUGGCUCCCAGCAGCCCCUGCUACCUGCUCCCAUCAUGCUCUAGUUGUGCAAUGGUGGUCCCAGCAGCUGCUGACAAACAGAGGGUGACAUCACACUGUGAGUCUGCACAGAGAACCUGCAGACUCAAUGAUGAUGUCACCCAACACAGCCAAUCAGCUCGGAGUGUCAGGCUAAAGGAGAGGAGGGGCCUGAUCUCAAGUUUUCAACCUGAGACC